Myotis brandtii (Brandt's bat) is the source of this 975-nucleotide long non-coding RNA. RefSeq lists it as uncharacterized. NCBI's taxonomy places the organism in Eukaryota, Metazoa, Chordata, Mammalia, Chiroptera, Vespertilionidae. The transcript is spliced from 2 exons. The record is from RefSeq and is a predicted model, not a curated record.
GAAAAAAUGUGCAUAAAGUGGACCCAGGCAGUUCAAACCCAUGUUGUUCCAGGGCCAGCUGUAUAAUUAGCUAGUUUAUCUUUCUUCAGUUUUUUAGAUGGGCGUAAAACUGAGUACUCCAACCUUUGCCGUGGAUCAUCAGACUCUACAACCAGGUUGGCAGCAUGAGCCCGUGUGAUAACCAACUCUGAUCCACUGUAGGUACCUGGAGUGCAGUGUUGAAAGGAUCCUGAGGCCGAGCCCAGGCUGAGUGGUAGAGUAAUGUCUGCUGUACGAGGGACAAGAAGAAAAGAAAGGGCAAUGCCAAGUCUGCAUUAGAGCCUCGGUACCCACGCUAAGAGAGUUUGAAAGUUAAGACAACAUCCUCCUACAGAUGUACUAUUUAAGUCACGAACAUGAGAAAGAUGUGCUGAAAGGAACUUUGUUUUUCAUGUGGAACUGGAUGGAAGCCCCUCAGACAUGAAGGUGAUAACCUAAGCCCUCUAAUGACUGUUUCCUGGCCCAAUGCCAGGCACCCAGGAGGCACCCAAAUAUUUGUUGAAUUCAGCUGGAAUUCGUUCCGCAGCCUUUGGAAACCAGGGCACAGUUUUGUUCAUUGAACUGUCCUGUGAUGGAAGGUCAGUAAGCGAAUCGCCCUGGGUCCUGCUGUCACCUCUGAACUAGUCCGCUGUGCGAACCGGGGAAAUGUUUAAUGAAUCCUCGGCCGGUUUGAGCUGCGACCAGCAGUCCUCGGCAUGGGCUCCCUGGGACGUGGGGCCCACCUUUUUGAAUGUGCAUGAAUGCUUCUGUCUAUCAGUGUUGGGUGAGCUCAGGAACUUGAACGCUAAAGGCCCGGCAUGGGAGCCAGCCAGCAGGCAGCCUUACAGAGGCCCUGUGACACUGGAGCAACGCUGUUCAGCAGAACUAGGAGCAGCAAAUGGGAGCCGUGUAUUUAAUAUAAAAUCUUAGUAGCCACAUUAAAAAAGUAAACAGAAA